This 253-nucleotide ribosomal RNA is filed under the name uncultured bacterium. RNAcentral describes it as "partial 16S ribosomal RNA". It matches the Rfam family "Bacterial small subunit ribosomal RNA", at positions 524 to 776 of the family's 1533-position model. The record is from RNAcentral.
UACGUAGGGGGCGAGCGUUGUCCGGAGUUACUGGGCGUAAAGGGUGCGUAGGUGGCCGAUAAAGUCAAGUGUGAAAUUCCACGGCUCAACUGUGGGAGUGCGUUUGAAACUAAUCGGCUUGAGGUCAGGUCAGGGAGAUGGAAUUGUCAGUGUAGGGGUGAAAUCCGUAGAUAUUGGCAAGAACGCCAGUGGUGAAGACGGUCUUCUGGGCUGAUACUGACACUGAGGCACGAAAGCUAGGGGAGCGAAUGGG